CUCUCUCUCUCUCUCUCUCCAUCUUUGACUCCGCCACCACCCCCUCUUUUCUGUCUCAUCAUCUCGAUCAUCCAAGUCUCACAAACAAGAAGAAAAUGCUAAUCAAAGACAAGGAAGAAAAGACAACCUUCGUACUAUUGUAGAUAAUCCACGACGAAGACACCAUAUUGGCGUACAAUUACGGCAAAUUAGCUCCUCCUUUCACCCUCAUGAACAUUGUAAUUGAGAAAAGCUGAAUCAGGAAAUUCCUAUGCAAUUUCGCUACAAUUUCAUGUACAUAUAUUGGGUACAUUCCUUUAGGAAAAACUUUUGUAGAAUAAGCAACGAUAGAAAAUUUGCCGAAACUAGAUGUAAAUAUCAGACAUUGCAAAACUAGCAAAGAAAAGGAAAAGGGAAGGGAAGAUUUUAGUUACCAUAUACUAUGUCGACAAAUUCUAGCAAUCCAUCGGGAGGCCUUCUGCAAAAGAAUCUGUAAUCAUACUACAUUAAAACCCUGAUCUGGGAUCCGAUUAUGCCCACUCCUCCGUCGGGCAGUGAAAUCCUGAAUCCAGAGAGGAGAAUCAUCUGCUAUCUCCUUCAUCUACAUUCCCUUCAUUUUCGUUUGAAUCACCAAGCUAUAUUGGCGUUAUUGAGGAAGUGCGAUGGGUUGGGUUUGUA
Molecule: unclassified non-coding RNA, 657 nt
Filed under: Hevea brasiliensis (rubber tree)
Lineage: Eukaryota; Viridiplantae; Streptophyta; Magnoliopsida; Malpighiales; Euphorbiaceae
Source: RNAcentral